RNAcentral lists this ribosomal RNA (468 nucleotides) under uncultured bacterium. RNAcentral describes it as "partial 16S ribosomal RNA". It matches the Rfam family "Bacterial small subunit ribosomal RNA", at positions 28 to 507 of the family's 1533-position model. The record is from RNAcentral.
GACGAACGCUGGCGGCGCGCCUAACACAUGCAAGUCGAACGGAGUCACGAGGAGCUUGCUUUUCUUGACUUAGUGGCGAACGGGUGAGUAACGCGUGAGUAACCUGCCCUGGAGUGGGGGACAACAGUUGGAAACGACUGCUAAUACCGCAUAAGCCCACGGAUCCGCAUGGAUCUGCGGGAAAAGGAUUUAUUCGCUUCAGGAUGGACUCGCGUCCAAUUAGCUAGUUGGUGAGGUAACGGCCCACCAAGGCGACGAUUGGUAGCCGGACUGGGAGGUUGAGCGGCCACAUUGGGACUGAGACACGGCCCAGACUCCUACGGGAGGCAGCAGUGGGGGAUAUUGCACAAUGGGGGAAACCCUGAUGCAGCGACGCCGCGUGGAGGAAGAAGGUUUUCGGAUUGUAAACUCCUGUCGUUAGGGACGAUAAUGACGGUACCUAACAAGAAAGCACCGGCUAACUACGUG